RNAcentral lists this long non-coding RNA (190 nucleotides) under Polistes fuscatus (common paper wasp). RNAcentral describes it as "uncharacterized LOC122513592". Lineage: Eukaryota; Metazoa; Arthropoda; Insecta; Hymenoptera; Vespidae. The record is from RNAcentral.
ACAGUACGACUAUAAACGAGGUUAUGCCACAAAUAAAAGAAUAACGAAAAUAGGGAAGACAAACGUUCACAUAAAUAUUUCGUAAAGUAACACAAGGUCUAAAAUCAAAAAACGCAGCCUAUCAAGCAUACCAACUAAGAACGGAAAAAAGUUAUAAAGCAGUCAUUAAAGGCUUACAUCUGAAAACAAA